AUGGUGGCCGGGCGUGUCAAGGCGGCCAUGGGCUUCCACAGCAGCCCCAGGGCGCCCAAAUCGCCGGCGCCGGCGGCGACGGCCCCAGCCGAGGGGUAUGCAUACACGCCGGCCCGGGGUCCCUCGUCGUCAACGUCAUCGCCCGCCCCGUGCGGCUCGGCCUCCAAGGCGUCGGCGUUCGCGCGGUCCUUGGGCGCUUACUUCCCGCGCUCGUCGGCGCAGGUGCAGCCCGCGCGCGCGCCGCCGGAAGUCGCUGGGCUGCUGCGCGCCAUCGAGCAGCUCCAGGAGAGGGAGUCGCGGCUCCGCGUCGAGUUGCUUGAGCAGAAGAUACUCAGGGAGACCGUUGCUAUCGUCCCUUUCUUAGAGGCCGAGCUCGCGGCGAAGAGCAGCGAGGUCGAGAGGUACAAGGAGUCCGCCGCGCGGCUCGAGUCCGAGAACAUGCGGCUGUGCGCUGAGCUCGACGCUGCGGCGCUGGAGGUUACGAGCAGAAAGCAGAGGAUUGUUCAAAUGGAGAAGGAAAUGGCAGAGCUGAGGAAGCAGCACGACGCUGAUGACUGCUGCUCGUCGUCAUCCUCGUCCAAGCCCUACUUGGCCGUCUCGUUGCACGCUUCACCACCGAGCUCUUCGUCAUCCUCGUCCACGUCGACUUCACCGACGGAUUCAGGCUCGUCGUCAGACACGGCGGCCAUUCCAAGAACCCGCGUGCCAGAGCUGUCGAAGCUGCCGCCGAUACCUCCGCCACCGCCACCGCCACCGCGGCCUCAGCUGACGCCGGCACCCAGCCUGAGCAUCAGCUCCGGCUCAAUGGGAGUGUGCGGAAGCGUAGGCGCGCCACCUCCUCCGCCCCCGCCCCCGCCGUCCAAGAGGACAUGUUCGCCGGUGAGAUCGGGUUCGUGCGUGAGGCGCGUGCCUGAGGUGGUGGAGUUCUACCACUCACUGAUGCGGAGGGAGUCCAAGAGGGACGGAGGGAGCGGUGCCGACGCAGCGAGCGGUGGCGGCGCGGCGGCGACCAGGGACAUGAUUGGCGAAAUCGAGAACCGGUCGGCACACCUCCUCGCGAUCAGAUCGGACGUGGAGACGCAGGGCGACUUCAUCCGGCUCCUGAUCAAGGAGGUGGAGGGCGCGGCGUUCGUCAACAUCGAGGCCGUGGUCAGCUUCGUCAAGUGGCUCGACAACGAGCUAUCCCGCCUGGUGGACGAGCGCGCGGUGCUGAAGCACUUCGAGUGGCCGGAGCAGAAGGCAGACGCGCUCCGGGAGGCGGCGUUCGGCUACUGUGACCUGAAGAAGCUGGAGGGCGAGGCGUCGUCGUUCCGCGACGACCCCCGCCAGCCCUGCGCCGCCGCGCUCAAGAAGAUGCAGGCCCUCUUUGAGAAGCUGGAGCACGGCGUGUACAACCUCGCCCGCGUCCGCGACGGCGCCACCAGCAGGUACGGCCGGUUCCAGAUCCCGUCGGAGUGGAUGCAGGACGCCGGGAUCGUCAGCCAGAUCAAAUUCCAAUCCGUGAAGUUAGCCAGGAAGUACUUGGAACGAGUUUCCUCUGAGCUUGAAGCCAUCAAAGUCGGCCCAGACGAAGAGGAGUUGAUGCUUCAAGGAGUACGAUUCGCCUUCAGAGUACACCAGUUUGCAAGCGGUUUCGACGCCGACACCAUGCGCGCCUUCCAAGAGCUCAAGGAGAAGGCCUCCCUGUGCCGAUUUCAGCGGCAAAAACAGAGUAGACACAUGCGGCAGCAAAGGCUCGUUGGGACCUGA
RNAcentral lists this ribosomal RNA (1749 nucleotides) under Triticum aestivum (bread wheat). Its description in RNAcentral is "partial small subunit ribosomal RNA". Lineage: Eukaryota; Viridiplantae; Streptophyta; Magnoliopsida; Poales; Poaceae. The record is from RNAcentral.